CCUGGUGGCUCAGAUGGUAAAGCAUCUGCCUGCAAUGCAGGAGACCCAGGUUUGAUCCCUGGGUCAGGA
Non-coding RNA from Bos taurus (domestic cattle), 69 nucleotides. The record is from Rfam. Lineage: Eukaryota; Metazoa; Chordata; Mammalia; Artiodactyla; Bovidae.